AAACUAAUAUAGUUCCAUCCUCUCAAACUUGCAUUUUAGCAAUGGCCAAAUGGAUCUCAUUUGCUGCUCUUUUUGCAAUACUUUUACUACUCAUCUCUCCUGAGCUUGCAAGUGCUGCCCAACCUAGUCUUAUUCUUCAACUCGGCCGAAAACUUUUCCAAUGCGGCAGCGCCGCCGUCCCUGUUCGUGGAAAUACCCCAUCCAAUGGCCGCUCCUAGAGGAUAUACCCCACCACCAAAACACCCACUCUAUGGCUGAAUAUUUGAGAUGUUAGCAUCCUUCUUUAAUUUUGUGAUAAAAAAAAUACUUUUAAAGAUGUAUAAUUGUGUGUCAUUACUAUAAUAUAUGUCAUGUAUGCUUAAUUUCACUGAACCAUGUGUACUACUGCUUAUCGGUCACGUCCAUUUAGUGGCCACACCUGUAUCCAGCGAAUAAAAUUCUCAUAAUCAGUUUGUCCUCUAAAAUUAUUCGGUGAUAUGUAUGUUGUGUAUGCGGAUAGCAAAACGCACCAAAACACUGCACAAUUAUGGAACAGAAAUUGAUUGCGGGGCAAAGGUUCCUCUUUGUUCCUUUAGAUGCAUCGUGCCUCGGAGGAGGAAGAUCUAAUCCAAGAAGAUUCUAGUGUUUAGAAUCAAAA
This 637-nucleotide long non-coding RNA is filed under the name Glycine max (soybean). Its description in RNAcentral is "uncharacterized LOC100499697 (LOC100499697)". The record is from RNAcentral. Lineage: Eukaryota; Viridiplantae; Streptophyta; Magnoliopsida; Fabales; Fabaceae.